This 250-nucleotide ribosomal RNA is filed under the name uncultured bacterium. Its description in RNAcentral is "partial 16S ribosomal RNA". It matches the Rfam family "Bacterial small subunit ribosomal RNA", at positions 525 to 775 of the family's 1533-position model. The record is from RNAcentral.
ACGUAUGUCGCAAGCGUUAUCCGGAUUUAUUGGGCGUAAAGCGCGUCUAGGCGGUUUGGUAAGUCUGAUGUGAAAAUGCGGGGCUCAACUCCGUAUUGCGUUGGAAACUGUCAAACUAGAGUACUGGAGAGGUAGGCGGAACUACAAGUGUAGAGGUGAAAUUCGUAGAUAUUUGUAGGAAUGCCGAUGGGGAAGCCAGCCUACUGGACAGAUACUGACGCUAAAGCGCGAAAGCGUGGGUAGCAAACAG